GAGAAGAGAGAAGAGAGGGUAAGCUGUGCUCGCCGCCCUAGCAAACCUCGGCCUCCUUUUCUCCGCCGCACUAGCCAAAAGGUGAUUUCCACCGCCGCCAGAAUCGAACAAAAAGGGAUCUCCAAUGUCGUCGCCGUCAAGCGAUUCGUGGAAAACAGGGAUGGAGAGGAAGAAGAAAGGAGCUCCGAUCAAAUUCUUGGUGCCUCUGAUUUACGCGCCUGCGCUUCCUUAGGUUCGCUUGUCCUUGAGACAUCAUCUUGUUCUCAAGGAUCGUCUCUUCGGUCUUGUCCUCGCUGGUGCUUUCGCUCAUGGCUUCUAUCUCGUGAAUCCUCUUUUUAUUAUUGCCUCUCCAUUAACUAAUCUUUGUUGCUUUCUUGUCUGAUUGUGAAUCAUAUUGGGUUGAUAAGGUGUUAUUACAAUUUUUAGCAUAGCUGAUUUUUCUUUCAUCACCUCUUGUCUGAAGAUUUGGUUGUCUCCUAGCUUCUUAAACUUGUAUAGCUGCGUGUUGUCUUGUUGAGUUUCAUCACCUCUUAUCUGAAGAUUUGGUAGAAAAAAAUGUACCUUCACCAGUCUUGUGGACAGCUUCAAGCUUUUGAAGGAAGGCAAAGACGACUUGACGGAAGAAGAUAUUUACCUCUCUUGUGAUCUCGGUUGGUGUCACUCGCAUUGGCCACCCUUGAAAAUGUUGAGUCAAAAGAUGAUGUAACAGUGAGAAUGAUGCAGAAGACGAUGAUGAAAGAAACACACGAAUGUUGCAGUCUCUCACUGGAAUGCCAAGUGCAGCCUUUGAAGUUUUAGUUAGAGACCAAGGUUCUGAUUUGAAAGAAUCAAUCUGCCUCGUACGUUGUGUUCUCGCCCUUCCUCUUCAAUCCUUCGGUUUCGAGUGGCAGAAGAUUGUUGAUGAUUAGACUGAUCGGAAGAGCUCACGUUUAUCUAUCAAUACAGACUUGUAUAUCAUCUCACGACUACAGCGAAGUAUAAACUUUCUGCAGGUAACAUCAUUUGCCCUUUAUGAGUCUGUGCAAUAAUCUUGACGACAGAGGUGGAAAGGCAGCGAGGUGGAUGGGACGAGCUUGCUGUGAUGAAUGGGGCGGAGAGGCGUCGGAUUUGAAGAAGCUGCGUUGUGGAGAUGGCAGAGGAAGCUAGCGGUGGUAGUGGUGGCGGCACUAAAAGAUAGAGCACUAGAAGAUAGGAGAUAGUGAGGGUUUAUUAGUGGUAGAUUGAUAGUUUUUAUGAUUGUGUUGUGGUCUGUAUGAACAAGAUAAUGUUUUAUGGGUUUUUAACUGAUCGUACCACAGACGUUCUUUCC
Molecule: long non-coding RNA, 1309 nt
Organism: Raphanus sativus (radish)
Lineage: Eukaryota; Viridiplantae; Streptophyta; Magnoliopsida; Brassicales; Brassicaceae
Exons: 3
Source: RefSeq, a predicted model, not a curated record